This 2327-nucleotide long non-coding RNA is filed under the name Anolis carolinensis (green anole). RNAcentral's name for it is "lncRNA (ENSACAG00000036929.1)". The record is from RNAcentral. Lineage: Eukaryota; Metazoa; Chordata; Lepidosauria; Squamata; Anolidae.
UGGGGGACCAUAUGUUUUGAUUUAACAAUAUUUCAGCUCAUCAAAUUGUUCUUUCUUGAUUCCAUCAAACAUAGAAAAUCCUGGGUAUGAAGGAGGGUAUAACGCCUUUCAUAGAGCUUGUGUACAUGUCCAAGAAAUGCAUAUGGAAAAGUCCUUCUGGAGUUGUUGUGUGCCUUCAAGAUAUUUCUGACUUAUGGUGAUCCUAGGUGACUUUAUCAUUGGAUUUUUGUUUUUUUGGGAGGUGGGUACUGAGAGUGUGUGACAUAUCCAAGUUCACCCAGUUAGUUUCCAUGCCUGAGUGGUGGCCCAAUGCUCAAACCAAAACCAUAUCACUAACAGAGUUUUUUCAUACCCAUCCCUAAUAGACAUAAUUCAUUACGAUCAUAUUUUUUCCCCAAAAGUAGGGGCUUUGUGGAGAUUAUCCACUUUGCCUGUUGGAAGGAAAAAGCAUGCAUGAAUGAAUGCUCACCCAUUAAAACAUAGUAAAGGUAAAGGUUUUCCUCUGACGUUAAGUCCAGUCAGGACUGACUCUGGGGGUUGGUGCUCAUUUCCAUUUCUAAGCCAAAGAGCCAGCAUUGUCCAUAGACACCUCCAAGGUCAUGUGGCCAGCAUGACUGCAUGGAGCGCCGGCUCUUUGGCUUAGAAAUGGAGAUGAGCACCAACCCCCAACGUCGGACACGACUGGACUUAAUGUCAAGGGAAACCUUUACCUUUACCUUAUAGUGGUAUAGUUCAAUAUAGUAAUAUAUAAUGCUAAUAUUGUGCUAUGCUAAUAAUAUAAUAUAUUGUUUGUACAUACAGCUGCUCUGAGUCCCCUUUGGGCUGAGAAGGGUGGGAUAUAAAUGUAGUAAAUAACGGUAGUAAAUAAAUAAAUAAAUAAAUAAUUUUAGACUUAGGCUCGCCCAAAGUCUGAAAUGAUUUGAAGGCACACAACAACAACAAUCAUAAUUAACUUGACUAUUUCAUUGGCCAAUAGUAGGCCCACACUUUCCAGUGAAAUCCUGAUAGGUUUAUGUUGGUUAAAAUUGUUUUCAUUUUUAAAUAUUGUAUUGUUCUUUAAUUGUUAUUGUUGUAUUGCACUACAAAUAAGACAUAUGCAGUGUGCAUAGGAAUUUGAGGACCCCUGGACUAGAGACUAGAAUCCUAGUCUCCAGAGUUGUAGUCCAACACUUAAACCACUGCACUACACUGGCUCUUAAUCUCCACCUAGCAAUCCUUUUUGAAACAGUUUCUCCAUCCAUUCCUCUUGACUUCUGCUUUGGGAUUAAAAUUAGCAUUCUGCUCAGCAUGUGAGUAAAGAAGGUGAUGAAUGAAUCAGUGAAAUAAUAGGGCAGUAGAAACAGAGGCUGCAUCUUUUCCAGCUCCCGUUGCUUCAACUCUUCAGUUGGGACCCAUAGAAUUCAUUCUUCCUUUCCCAAAAAAAUCUGCUGAGGUGGCCGCUAUUACUUUGACUGUGCCUUGUGAAUGAAAAAAAAAACUCCUUGUAAUUGCAUAAAGAGAAAUGUGUGCUGAAAUCUCGGCAGGUUGAGGGAGGUGGUGAAGUGUCAGGCAUUAAAUUUCCUCUGGUGGGUUAUUUUAUUUUGCUUAAUUGUUGGUGAAAUUUUUGCAAAUUGGCAAUUAUAAUCUUGGGCUGAUUGCUUACCCAGGUAAUUUACAGAUUUUCUCAUUUGGCAGGGAUGCUUCAUAACGCUUCCCAUAAAAUAUGGUUUCAUCAUCCUGCAACAGAGUUCCCUUCUUCUUUAUAGGUUAUUGCCUCUGCCUGCGGGGAGCUUGGAUGCUAAUUCCAUAGUGCUGCCUUCUUAAGAAAAUUGAAUUGAGUGCCUCUUUACCCCCGUGGAUCUGAAUGACAUGUUUGCCCCAGUUUCCAAUGAAUGUAGGGACUUUCUUUGAUAGCCUCUUCCAUAACCAAAAUGGGAAUGGCUAAGAACAGAUUUUCUAUCCAUCUUUGCAAUCACCUCUGAGAUCUAAAGCAAGACUGAAUACUUUCUGUAUACUGCGGCACAUUUUUUUUUAUACAACAGCCCAAGUAGACGAAAUGAAUAUGGCUGGGUAGCAUUUCAUACCCACAAGCAUGUCGCAUGUUUUAUCAAGGCCUGUGCACCAGGUGCCUUUUGCAACUUCAUCAGGUUCAAGGUGGAAGUAUCAGAAUGUCAAGCCAUACCUUUUGAGUUGGAAUACCUGAUAAUGGACUGGAUAGUCCAUGCAGUCUCUUCCAACACUAUGACUCUAUGUUUAUAUAAUACAUCUCCUCCUUUUCCACCCUGACAUGUCCCAAAGUCCUAAUGAAGAGGUGCUCCUAGUGGUCCCACAUGGCUUGGAGAUCUGCU